GUUUUCUUUUCCUGUAUUAACUCACUUAGGAUAAUUGCCUCCAGUUGCAUCCAUGUUGCUGCAAAGGACAUGACUUAAUUAUGGCUGCAUACUAGUCUGUGCUAUCUAUAUACCACAUUUUCUUUAUCCAGUCCACCAGUGAUGGACAAUCCAGGUUGAUUGAUGUCUUUGCUAUUGUGAAUAGUGCUACAAUAAAUAUACAAGUGCAUGUGUUUUUUAAUGGAAGGUCAUGUUUUCCCUCCUGGGUUCAGGCAAUUCUCCUGCCUCAGCCUACCAAGUAGCUGGGAUUACAGGCGUGCACCAACAUACCCAGCUAAUUUUUGUAUUUUUAGUAGAGAUGGGGUUUCACCUUGUUGACCAGGAUGGUCUCGAUCUCUUGACCUUGUGAUCCACCUGCCUCGGCCUCCCAAAGUGCUGGGAUUACAGGUGUGAGCCACCACGCCCGGCCAAAGACUUUUUUUUAAAAGAGAGUGGCUAAGUGGCGAUAGGACAAACUGUGUCAUUUGGGAAGUGGUUAAAGAACUGGGUAUAUCUAAUCCAAAAAGAUAAGGCACGACUAUGUGAUCAAAUUAAAUGCAAUUUAAAGGCAGAUUUCAUUGUGUCACUUCUCUGCUCUUAACCAUAGAAAGGCUGCUUAUACCUAUAGAACAAAAUCAAGUUAUUGCCUUCCCCUAUAAUCAGACCUUUCCCUAAACUUAUUUUCUUUCAGUUAGGAAAGCAACAAUGAACCACUUUAAUCCAGAGGUUCUCAUGACUGCAUGUUUUUGCUCACAGUAGCUUAUCUGACAUUAACAUUUUGGUCCAAAUAAAUAAUCUGCUUUCUGCAAUUCAGCUCAAACAUUCCUUCUUCUUAGAAAUCCUGUGACAAUUGUCACUUGCUCAGGCCCAGGCUGUAUUUUUAUUGUGGGUCACUUUCCUCCUCCUCCCUUACCCCAUGAUACCUUUCAGAAAAGGGAUUGUGUUUUCUUUAUUUUUAAGCUUUUAGUUCUUACUGCAGUGUCUGUCACAUAAAAGGUUCUCAAUUAAUGCUUAUCAAAUGAUACUAAUAUCUCAAUUUCAAUAUUUGAACACCUGGUGCAUGGAAGAAAAACCUUACCUUAUGUAGCUGAGGACUAGAGCUAAGAAUAGUGAGUGAAACUCACAGGAAUAUAGAUUUCCAUGUAAUGAGAGAAAAUCUUUCCAAGAAACCAGAGCUCUCCCAAAGAUCAAAAGUCCUCCCUCAGUUCAGGAGUGAGGAAGACAGCCAAGACAUGUUAAGACAGCCCUUAAUAUGGGCCAGGGAAAGAAUAUAGCACUUAAAAGUGAGUUGGUUCAGCGGGCCUUUGAAGUUUCCUUCAAUCCUGAGCCCAGUAAUUCUCCAAAUGCGUAACUGCCCAC
Molecule: long non-coding RNA, 1377 nt
Filed under: Callithrix jacchus (white-tufted-ear marmoset)
Lineage: Eukaryota; Metazoa; Chordata; Mammalia; Primates; Cebidae
Description: lncRNA (ENSCJAG00000085156.1)
Source: RNAcentral